UACGGGGGGGGCAAGCGUUGUUCGGAAUUACUGGGCGUAAAGGGCUCGUAGGCGGCCAACUAAGUCGGAUGUGAAAUCCCCAGGCUUAACCUGGGAACUGCAUCCGAUACUGGAUGGCUUGAAUCCGGGAGAGGGAUGCAGAAUUCCAGGUGUAGCGGUGAAAUGCGUAGAUAUCGAGAGGAACACCGGUGGCGAAGGCGGCCUUCUGGACAGUGACUGACGCUGAGACGCGAAAGCGUGGGGAGCAAACAGG
This 253-nucleotide ribosomal RNA is filed under the name uncultured bacterium. RNAcentral describes it as "partial 16S ribosomal RNA". It matches the Rfam family "Bacterial small subunit ribosomal RNA", at positions 524 to 776 of the family's 1533-position model. The record is from RNAcentral.